GCUCCACCUGUGGUCAGCACCCAGCUCUUGUGCUUGGCACCCACAUGGGGACAGGAGGAGGGACUAUGGUUGCUGGUGUGGUGCAGGCCCCACCUGUGCAUCUCCCAGCCCACUGUGAUGGCACAACACCCAUGCCGUCCCAGCAGGAGGAGGAUGGGGAGAGAGGCAAAAAGGCUCACAAGCUGGCCCCGCGCCAUGGUUAUACCCGAGGUUUGGCAGAGGUGUGGGGCAGCCCUCAGCCCUUCCUGCACCUCUGUCAUCCAGACCCCUGAAGUACCUGGUGGAAGUGGCUGGUGGUGUCAGGAGGGUGGACCACUUGGGAACCAUUGUUUUCUGGCAAAAACAAUGGAGAGGAGAGGAGCUGGGUUAUCUGCCUGGUCCUCCCAGCCUACUUGGUGUGUCCAAUACAGAGCUGCAGUGAAUAAACAGAGUAGAAGAUUGCACCAAGGCAAUGGCUUUGACCAAGGAUAUGUAUACCUCUUGCUGCUUUCAAAGAGUGCUGGCAUCAGACCAGAGGAGGGAUAUGAAACAAAAUAGGGGCUGGGAGAUCCUUUUUUUUUUUUUUUUUUUUUUACCACUGUAUGGGAGUUGUUGUAGAAUAAACUCUCACGGCUGUCCCUGGGGAAGACUGAG
RNAcentral lists this long non-coding RNA (633 nucleotides) under Anser brachyrhynchus (Pink-footed goose). RNAcentral's name for it is "lncRNA (ENSABRG00000012610.1)". Lineage: Eukaryota; Metazoa; Chordata; Aves; Anseriformes; Anatidae. The record is from RNAcentral.